AAUGAACGCUGGCGGCGUGCUUAACACAUGCAAGUCGAACGAGAACGGGUUCUUCGGAACCUUAGUAGAGUGGCGCACGGGUGAGUAACACGUGGACAAUCUACCCCCGAAUCCGGGAUAACAUUUCGAAAGGGAUGCUAAUACCGGAUAAUAUCUGUUUUACCUUGGUUUAACAGAUCAAAGGUGGCCUAUCCUUGGAAGCCAUUGUUUGGGGAUGAGUCCGCGUACCAUUAGCUUGUUGGUGGGGUAACGGCCUACCAAAGCGAUGAUGGUUAGCUGGUCUGAGAGGAUGAUCAGCCACACUGGAACUGACACACGGUCCAGACUCCUACGGGAGGCAGCAGUGAGGAAUUUUGCGCAAUGGACGAAAGUCUGACGCAGCAACGCCGCGUGAGUGAUGAAGGCCCUUGGGUCGUAAAGCUCUGUCAAUGGGGAAGAAACAGUAAAGGGUUAAUAUCCUUUUGCCUUGACGGUACCCAUGAAGGAAGCACCGGCUAACUCCGUGCCAGCAGCCGCGGUAAUACGGGGGGUGCAAGCGUUAUUCGGAAUUAUUGGGCGUAAAGGGCGCGUAGGCGGCCAUUUAAGUCAGAUGUGAAAGCCCGGGGCUCAACCCCGGAAGUGCAUUUGAAACUGGAUGGCUUGAGUAUGGGAGAGGGAAGUGGAAUUCCAGGUGUAGAGGUGAAAUUCGUAGAUAUCUGGAGGAACACCAGUGGCGAAGGCGACUUCCUGGACCAAUACUGACGCUGANGCGCGAAGGCGUGGGGAGCAAACAGGAUUAGAUACCCUGGUAGUCCACGCAGUAAACGUUGACAACUAGGUGUUGCGGGUAUUGACCCCUGCAGUGCCGUAGCUAACGCAUUAAGUUGUCCGCCUGGGGAGUACGGUCGCA
This 889-nucleotide ribosomal RNA is filed under the name uncultured bacterium. RNAcentral's name for it is "bacterial SSU rRNA". It matches the Rfam family "Bacterial small subunit ribosomal RNA", at positions 28 to 890 of the family's 1533-position model. The record is from RNAcentral.